UUCCACCUUACAGGUGUGGCAUAUCAAGAAGAUGAUUAAACAGCAUAAUCAUUACACAAGUGCACCUUGUGCGUGGGACAAUUAAGGCCACUCUACAAUGUGCAGUUUUGUCAUGUAGCACAAUGCCACAGAUGUCUCAAGUUUUGAGCGAGUGAGCCUCCAACAUCGUUUUAGAGAAUUUGGCAGAAUGUCCAACUCGCCUCACGACCGCAGACCACAUAUAACCACGCCAGCCUAGGACAUCCACAUCCGUCUUCUUCACCUGCGGGAUUGUCUGAGACCAGCCACUGAUGAAAUUGAGAAGUAUUUCUGUCUGUAAUAAAGCCCUUUUGUGGGGAAAAACUAAUUCUGAUUGGCUGGGCCUGGCUCCCCAGUGGUUGUGCCCAGGCCCAGUCAUGUAAUCCAUAAAUUAGGGCCUAAUGAAUUUAAUGACUGAUUUCCUUAUAUGAACUGUAACUCAGUAAAAUCGUUGAAAUUGUUGCAUGUUGCGUUUAUAUUUUUGUUUAGUAUAUUUAUAAAACGUGGUUUAGAUAUUGUUGUUAUCAAUGACUGUAGAGGUUGUAACCCACUAUUAUUUUGGGCUGAGUCCAAGGAUUUCCAUUGAGAAUUGUUUAUAUGUUGCCACCAGCAGGGGGCGCUGGAGCACAGAGGUUUGCCCUCUCCCCUCAACAGCACUCAAAGAGGCUGUGACAAUUAACCGUUUCUCCUCCUGUCUCUUUUUUCGUUGUUCUCUUAAGCAGGUAUGUGGUGUAAACAAGCACAUUAUCUAUAGAAAAUGUUAGCCUAAAUGGUUAUCUGAGUGAUACUUACCUUUUAUGUUGAAGUUGUAGAAUGUAAAUGUGUAAAUUGAUUGAGUGAAACUGUUAGCGAUCUUGACAUGGAGAUUAGGGUUGUGGCUAAGUAAGACUAGGUCAUAUAAUAAAAUAAUAAAAAAUGGUGCCAGAUAAUAUUUUGGUUUGAAUGUAUUGAUGUAUAGCUCCUCUGAGGUAAUAUUCUACUUUGUUUAUAUGGUCUAGGCACUGACAUCUCCCCACCCAUGUGCUAUGUUACAGAGUUGUAUUUUUAGAGAAACACUAUAUGCUAAGCUAACUGUGCUAACGCUAGCCUGUCAAGCCUAUAGGGUUGCUAUUAGGUUAACGGCUACAGUUAGCUGGCUCAGUAUUGCUUCCUACUGUGUAUUCCUUUUUGUUUAACUUUUUUUUUUAUCUUAGGUUAAAGUAAAAACGGAGAAGGUAUAUUUUUAAAUACAAGUUACUGUAUCAGCUAGUAUGACUUUUUUAAAUACAGAGGAUGUGUGUUACUGUACUUAGUUAUAGUACUUUCUAGUCUUUUACAGCAUCUGAGUGGAUUAUUUAUGUUGCAGAUCAAAAUUCACCCCGACUCAAACUUUACUGGCCCAAAGAACAUCUGUAGUGCGGAGUUGUCAACCAUGACUGAGAGGUCUUGGAGCAGGCAGGCCUUCCCCGGGAGGAAGAGCAGCUCCGUUCUGUCAAGAUCAAGGCUAGGUGGGGCUCGGGAGUAGCUUUCUCAGGCGCAUUAUAAUUUAGUUCAAAGAAGAUCUAAUCACAUUGGGUCUUUUUUGGGUGGUCUCCAACACAGAAUGCACAUAUCGGAGAUACAUCGCCUUUGAAAAGAGGCUACUCGCAACUUUGGUUUUAGAAGUGGGGACAUUUAUUUUAUAGAUUUUUUCCCCAAUCGGAUAAACACUCCAAACAGCCUACCCGAUCACUCGGAGGCGUCCGCACGGUCCUAAAGCACACCUUUGCCCAUGUUUUGUAUCACAUUCCAUUGAUAAAACUGGGGGUGACAAAAAUGCAAUUUUCAGAAUGGGGGGGAGACAUGUCACUGUCCGCAGAGAAAGUUGCACCCCUGGCUAUAUGUAUGUAUUAUUUGUAGCAUUGUACAGCUAAGUCAUCUUCUGCCCUAACUCAAAUUGAAAUAUCUGGCUGUGUCAUUAUGACUUUGGACAAUUAUUUGACACAUUGAAGUUAUUUCAUUUGAACUAUGGUUAAGCUAAAAGGGAGAAGAUGGAGAGAGAAAAGGAUCCUGGAAAAGUGACAGUAAUUGGUGAGAAGGUUUUUGUUCAUUGAUUGCAAAUGAGCAUUUGACAGUGUGCGGGUAUUAUCAUGAUAUUGUUUUAAACAUAAUAUAACUCAUAAAUGACUCAUGGCAGAAAUAAUGGUGAAUAUGAUUCCAGACACUGACAUGGCUUAAAAGGAUACUGUGAGAUUUCAAGAUUUAGGUCGUUUUUUUACUUACCCAGAGUCCGACGAACUCAUGGAAACCCAUUUUUAGGUCUUUGCUUGCAGGAGAUUAUUGAAGUUAGUUUAGCGCAAUUACUGGUAGUCUCCCACAGUAGCCAGCUCCUCUCAGGGUAAUACACCUUCUAACUACUCCAAAGCUGUGUGGUUGGUCAUUUAUAGUCUAUACAUAGUAAUCGAUAUUUUAUAAAUGAGCUAAUUUGACUGAUAAUCAUAAGAAACGAGAUUCUAGCCACGUCCUCAUUCUCUGUCCGGUUAAAGAUCGCAGAGAUGUACUGUAUCUCUUAUUAUGGCGUCUGUGAGCGCAUGGACAGCGCCAUUGAAACAACUCUGAAUCAUGGAUUACCGUUUCUCCUGGUCCAUGGACUACUUUCAGGAUGCUGUCAUGAUGUGCUUCCCUGGUGCAACAAAGGGACAAGUGGGAACGGCUUAAAACAGUAAAAGUAAAUAAAAGUUAAUGACUAGGAUUAGUUAAUGACUGUGUUAGCUUUGUUGUUGGCUAGCUCUUCUGAACAACAGUGUCCUGACGAGUGAGCACGUUUUCGAUGCCAGGCGAAAUCGCACCUAAUUAGCUCAUUGGGUGUAUCCAAAUAAAUGUCACUAGAAAACAUCUUAAACAAAUGCAAAUGCAGCUACUUUGUUGUUAUUCUGUCUGCACUGUUUGACGAGACAUUUAAGUUAGCCGUAGUUGGCUAGCUAGCAAGCAAGGGAUAAGAACGUUGCCAGCGAGUAUGGCAAUGGAGCAUUUAUAAUGAACAACUUGUUCUCUCCAUAGAUACAGAACAAAAAGACUAAACAUUUCUAGCAACCAAACCGAUAGAACGAACGACCAGCCGGCUUAACACAUAUCGUUUCGGGACUAUAUCUUUUGGAAGGAUGAAAUAGUAUGAAUAAAUUCAUCAAAAUAAAGUU
Molecule: non-coding RNA, 3173 nt
Organism: Oncorhynchus mykiss (rainbow trout)
Lineage: Eukaryota; Metazoa; Chordata; Actinopteri; Salmoniformes; Salmonidae
Source: RefSeq, a predicted model, not a curated record